This 327-nucleotide ribosomal RNA is filed under the name uncultured eukaryote. RNAcentral describes it as "partial 18S ribosomal RNA". It matches the Rfam family "Eukaryotic small subunit ribosomal RNA", at positions 1470 to 1796 of the family's 1831-position model. The record is from RNAcentral.
CCCUUAGAUGUUCUGGGCCGCACGCGCGCUACACUGAUGCAUGCAGCAAGUCUUUUCCUUGGCCGAGAGGCCUGGGCAAUCUUUGAAUAUGCAUCGUGAUGGGGAUAGACGAUUGCAAUUAUUCGUCUUCAACGAGGAAUUCCUAGUAAACGCAAGUCAUCAGCUUGCAUCGAUUACGUCCCUGCCCUUUGUACACACCGCCCGUCGCACCUACCGAUUGAAUGGUCCGGUGAAGGCUCCGGAGGCGUCUUUCUCAAUGUUUAUUCGGCGAGAUUGGUGCCAAAGUUGAAUGAACCUUACCAUUUAGAGGAAGGUGAAGUCGUAACA